Molecule: ribosomal RNA, 460 nt
Filed under: uncultured bacterium
Lineage: Bacteria
Description: partial 16S ribosomal RNA
Rfam family: Bacterial small subunit ribosomal RNA
Source: RNAcentral
CCUACGGGAGGCUGCAGUGAGGAAUAUUGGUCAAUGGGCGCGAGCCUGAACCAGCCAAGUCGCGUGAGGGAUGAAGGUUCUAUGGAUCGUAAACCUCUUUUAUAAGGGAAUAAAGUGUGGGACGUGUCCUAUUUUGUAUGUACCUUAUGAAUAAGGAUCGGAUAACUCGGGGCCACAAGCCGCGGUAAUACGGGGGAUCCGAGCGUGAUCGGGAUUUUUUGGGUUUAAAGGGUGCGUAGGCGGCCUUUUAAGUCAGCGGUGAAAGUCUGUGGCUCAACCAAAGAAUUGCCGGUGAAACUGGGUGGCUUGAGUAUGUUUGAGGCAGGCGGAAUGCGUGGUGUAGCGGUGCAAUGCUUAGAUAUCACGCAGAACCCCGAUUGCGAAGGCAGCCUGCCAAGCCAUGACUGACGCUGAUGCACGAAAGCGUGGGGAUCAAACAGGAUUAGAUACCCUAGUAGUC